GAUGAACGCUGGCGGCGCGCCUAACACAUGCAAGUCGAACGGCACCUGCCUUCGGGCAGAAGCGAGUGGCGAACGGCUGAGUAACACGUGGAGAACCUGCCCCCUCCCCCGGGAUAGCCGCCCGAAAGGACGGGUAAUACCGGAUACCCCGGGGUGCCGCAUGGCACCCCGGCUAAAGCCCCGACGGGAGGGGAUGGCUCCGCGGCCCAUCAGGUAGACGGCGGGGUGACGGCCCACCGUGCCGACAACGGGUAGCCGGGUUGAGAGACCGACCGGCCAGAUUGGGACUGAGACACAGCCCAGACUCCUACGGGAGGCAGCAGUGGGGAAUCUUGCGCAAUGGGGGGAACCCUGACGCAGCGACGCCGCGUGCGGGACGGAGGCCUUCGGGUCGUAAACCGCUUUCAGUAGGGAAGAGUCAAGACUGUACCUGCAGAAGAAG
Molecule: ribosomal RNA, 442 nt
Filed under: uncultured bacterium
Lineage: Bacteria
Description: bacterial SSU rRNA
Rfam family: Bacterial small subunit ribosomal RNA
Source: RNAcentral